This is a long non-coding RNA of Astatotilapia calliptera (eastern happy), 2420 nucleotides long. The record is from Ensembl. NCBI's taxonomy places the organism in Eukaryota, Metazoa, Chordata, Actinopteri, Cichliformes, Cichlidae.
GCUGUGUUGAGAGGUUGUCUCUGUCUCAAUAAAAGUUCACUGAUUCCCCAUCUGCAGCAGGUGUCCGGUUGUCUUCAUUCUCCGCCAGCCUGGUUAAGUCAAUUCCUCCUUAACAUCUAAAAGAACCUAUUUAAUGAAGGAAGACGGGUUCACUUUGUGUUUAAUAUUAUUCUAUUGCUGUUGUUGUUGUUUUUUAUAUCCUUCAAUUGGCGUCACGAACAGGAUCCGCUCCAGGUCAACUGGAACGGAUGGGAGGACAUCGGCCGUGGUCUGAGUGAACGGAGUUUGGACAAAAGCUGUGUGCACACAAAAACAAGUGUCUUCAUACAGGUGUUUUUUCUUAACCUGGAAGCCUGAGUACGGCAGCAGAAGACAGGCCAAGCUUUGGCUAAAAUUCACGGCUGGACACCAGAGUUGUCCUCACCCCUCCCGGUAAAACAAAAAAGAGAGAAUGUAGUUUGAGGCAGGUUUUUCUCGCUGAACUGCUCUGGGUGCUGUGUCCCUGAAUCUCACCAGUGUUAACCUCUGGCGGAAGACAUGGAGAAAAGGAAAAGAUGUUCCUGGUAAAUCACUGAAACAAAUAAAACCACACACAACCAGAGAAAGAUAUGAGAAGGGUGAGGAACAGACACAUGUGCGUGUUAGAGAAAUGCCUCGUUUGAGAAAAAGUUAAAGUAACCCAUAUACAGACGCACCCAUACAUGCAAUGAAGAAACAGCUUACAUACAUGUGCACGUACAUGCAAGGUUAAAGUAGCGACACUUAACAUACACCUGUUUUUAAAUGAUAUAGUUUAUACAUUACUGACAAUUAAACGCUUUGGGUUGCAGGACAACAACGUAACGUCAAAAGACAAAGACACUGGUCUGAGGAUUAAGUGAGGACACGACAAAUUUAGUGGUUAAAAGGGUCGACUUGGGACAUGUUUUUGUUGAUUGUUUAAGACAAAUGACUACUGAAUGAUAGGAAAUUCCUUUUUAGGUUUCUAAACAGGAUCUUAAGAAUUUUAACACGUACCUGUGUUGUCCUGUCAACUUGAGGGGUUAUGAGUUGAUUAUAUGGUGAAAAAAAAAAAAAACAAAAACAAAGAAGGGGGGAGACGAGAUCUCGUUGUUUCUCCCCUCUCGGGAUAACACAGCCAACACAGCACAGCCAACACAACAUCAUUUUCCUGUUCGCCUGUUUUGUUUUGUUUUUGUUUUUUCUGAGAGCCGAAGCUGACCUGGACUCCUACCCUCCCCUCUACCAUCGUUGCCCUCUCCGCGACCAUCUUUGACCCUUUGACCCCUGAAGGCCACAGCAGCUGGACUCACAACAACAACUUGAGGAUGUCAACAGUGCUGCAAAAGAGUGAUCUCAUGCAGCAGAGACGGAGAGCACUAAACCUAACGCCCGUUUCACUACACGGGGGAAAUUCCCAGGCUGCGUCAGCUGACAGAGCUGUGACGAGACGCGCAUUAAGCCCGGAGGAAAAGGGACGGUGAGCAGAAGGAUGCUGACCUCUGAGAAGAGCCGAACAGCAGAGCUGCAGAAGGCCGUGGAGCAAAGUAAGGACAACAUAAACAGACUCCAAUCUGACGGGAGGACCCUAGGCCAUGCGUCAGGCCGCUGGUUUACCUAAACUACAGAACAGGAAGGUGAUGAACACAAACAUAUACCAACACACGAACACACACUUCUGCAUGCGCCUACUUAGAAUGAAGGGAAACACACACAUGAACACUUAUGCACUUGUUGAGGGAGUAAAAACUGAUACAUACCCAUGCACUAAAAUCAAAAUGUUGAUUUAAUUUACUAAGAAGUGACACACAAUGCUCCAGCUGCUGCAAUGAAGAAUGCUUUACUGACAAAGGCUCAAUGCUGCACACAACAAAGUCAAAUACAGAAUUUGCUAUAAUAAUAAGCCCAGAGGGCAUUUGUGUGGUCUGGGGAGCAGAGUCCGGAGCGGUUUGGUUAUGAAAAUGAUGCCCGUGCGAGAUAUCUGGGGCUUAAGGCCUCGACUUAAUUGUUUACUCUACACUAAAAAGAAAAGAAAACACUCUGAGCAGUGGUGCAGAGUGAAAACGAGGAAUUAACAGUGUGAGUUUUAUUUCAGAGCGCCACGUCAUUGUGAUGGAGAUUUAAUAAAGGAGGAACACACGGACAAAGAAGAAGAGAAGGGGGGGCAGCCCUUGAACGCGAUUGCCUGAGGCAUUAAAGUUCUGUACUAAAUUCUGGUUCCCAGUGUGAGAAAAGUCACGCAGUGCCAGUAGUAGAGCUAGGUUGAGUGAUGAUUCUAAAUUACUGUAAGUAAAUCAUCGUACACCGUUCAAGUUUCAUGAUAACGGGGAUCUAGACUUUGUUGAACCCUAGGCAAUUUGAACAGGUAAAAGUCGAGUGACCAAGUAGCAGUUGAAUAAAAGUCAUUGAAUAAGUGUUGA